This 659-nucleotide non-coding RNA is filed under the name unclassified sequences. Its description in RNAcentral is "ROOL RNA". It matches the Rfam family "ROOL RNA". From Rfam's summary of the family: Firmicutes, Fusobacteria (1 example), Tenericutes (1 example). The record is from Rfam by way of RNAcentral.
AUUUAAUAUAAUUGUAGAUGUCAACUCAGUGAAAAAUUGGAUACCACCAAUCUGAGAAUCUGUUUAUAAAUACAGUGGAUUAUUUAUAGAGGAUACCCUAUAAAUAGUUUGAACGGUUGCUAAUGUGAAUUAGUGAUUGUGGUUACGAAAGUAACUCUGGAUAGCAGAUGUACCGACACCUAUUCGAUUUAAACCGCUGUCUUGUCGGCAGGGCAAUAGACGCUCCAGUGGAGAAUAACCCAGAUAAGGCUUUGACUGGUAAUCAAAGCAGUCUCUAAAGUAAAUAUUUCUAUCAGAGGAUAGGAAUAUUUUGGGAAUACCAAUAACCUGUUCAGCAAUGAAAAUCCUGAAUAAAAGGGAUAUAUAAGGCAAGGUCAAGGCACAAGUAGCUCAAUGCUAAGACGAACAUGCAAAAAAUAAUAAUUCAAGAGGUGAAUUAAUUUUAUUUUGAUAUUCUGAAUGGUGAGUGAAAGUUAGAGGUAAUCAAUCCUCUCAUAGAAUGGUAAAUAAUUAGUUUUCAGUAAUGAAAAUCAAUUAUUUACUGGGGUAAGAAGCUAAGAGGUCGCUCCUUUUGGUUCAGACUUAUCUCCUAUGUGGGUGAAAAAAGUAGGGUAGUAACAGUUGGCAAGGCGAAGGUCUGAUAUCUAUGAUUAUAUUAA